Long non-coding RNA from Syngnathus typhle (broad-nosed pipefish), 1642 nucleotides. RefSeq lists it as uncharacterized. The transcript has 4 exons. The record is from RefSeq and is a predicted model, not a curated record. NCBI's taxonomy places the organism in Eukaryota, Metazoa, Chordata, Actinopteri, Syngnathiformes, Syngnathidae.
GAUUCUCUCAGCGUUGUCAGCGUGAAGAGUCGACGGGGUUUCCUUGCAAUUCUAAUGGUUAAAGGCGCUGCCCGUGCAAGGGCGGAUGACGUCAACAUCACCAUGGGUCCCGGGGGUGCUGUAGUCUACAAUACAUUAGACUCGUUAAAAAAAAGGGCGAAGAGUUGGCGUGACAAGCAGCAAACAGGGUGAAACAGAAAAUUACAGCGCACAAAACCUGUUAGUCCACAGCAAAGCCGACUGACCUCAGCGAUUACAAUACCACAGUCACAAGAUGAGCACAAGGCUUGUUCUUAUCAACUUACAGUGUAUGUUGGUACACAGAACGACCAUGACAUGUAUGAUUUGUCAACAGUUACAAACAAACGUAAUUCUGUCUGUAUCAUCACAUUCUCACUACUUCCUAGUUGGGUAUGAGCCCCCAAGUGUAUAUCCAUGUUUUAUUGAUUUAAAAUAUGUGCAGUGCACAAUGUCUGUGUUUUUCUUGUUUUGAUCAAGGUACGGUUUGAAGUAGGAAUCUCAAAACUGACAGUGAAUCAUGACCUCUCCCUCUCGGGUAGAAAGUGGUCUGCAAGUAGCCAUUUCACAGGUCUAUGAUUUCCAACUUUAUAUCAUCUGCCUGUGGAGGUUUGCUUGCAGUUCCUUAUAAAGAUACUUGUCAUGGAUGGUCACCAGCUGCAGAGCGCCUUGUUCUUCAGCCUCCAAAGACGUUGGCAAUCAUAAUGGCCCUACGAAGGAAACUAUGGCUACGAUGCGGCCCGUGACAAAAAUGAGUUUGACAUCCCUGCGGCCUACACCAUCAGCAAGUCCCAACUCCAUUUUGAGUGUGAAGAAACCUAACACUGCGCAAUGACGUCAGCCUGACUGUGCUGCUACCCACAGCCCCUCUAGAGGGCGCACUUGCUUAGCAUUUGCUGACUGCUAUGACGCUGUGAUGCAUUUUCCACACCUACACUGCUCAAUUAAUGUCUUUAUUUGGCAGUAUUCACCUGUGACAUCGUGAAUUGUAAUAGGUUAAAUUUUGGUGACCAAACACGUAUUUCAGUACAGUUGGUGUAUGUGAGAUUUCUGUGGAAAAGACUUUGAAUAGAGAGUUUUUUCUGAAGGAAUAUCUUAGAAAAUGAUUUUUUUGUUUUAUUUCUUUGCUAAGAUCAAUCUAGAUGCCCUUUAGCCUACAUUGAGUAUACUUAAAAACGUACAUUUUUGGUGUAAAUGAUUAGUUUUGGUUUUGUUUUGUCAUGGCUUUGCUGUUUCCCCGGCAACAAUGAUUUUAAUAAUUAUUAAAGAAUGUGAAAUGUGUUGGUAGAGACCAUCUUCGUGCCCUUCCCUUUCAUUAUUUUUUGCAACCAUUUAUCACUCCAAGUUAUGAUUAAGAUUGCUUGCCACUAUAUCUUUGCACCAAUUCUGCUAUUUAAUGUUGAAAAAUUUGUUUUGGACUUGAGUAGUCCAGAUAGGGUUUCUAUUUUUCACUGUUCCCAUUGUCAGUCAGUUUUUGUUUAAUUUUGUACAGCAUUCAUUUAUUUCUGUAGCCUUGUUUUCUUUUUUUGUGUUCAUUUCUCUUGUAGUUUCACCCCCUUAACCUGGUCACAAGACUUGACUUGUACUUGUUAUCACAAUAAAAGAAAUCAUAGUUUCCUGUCAG